GAGGUUAUAGCUCAGUGGUAGAGCACAUGCUUAGCAUGCAUGAGGUCCUGGGUUCCACCCCAAGUACCUCCA
Molecule: transfer RNA, 72 nt
Filed under: Camelus bactrianus (Bactrian camel)
Lineage: Eukaryota; Metazoa; Chordata; Mammalia; Artiodactyla; Camelidae
Also listed under: 1 other name
Rfam family: tRNA
About the family: Transfer RNA (tRNA) molecules are approximately 80 nucleotides in length. Their secondary structure includes four short double-helical elements and three loops (D, anti-codon, and T loops).
Source: Rfam by way of RNAcentral